Molecule: transfer RNA, 66 nt
Filed under: Laimosemion kirovskyi
Lineage: Eukaryota; Metazoa; Chordata; Actinopteri; Cyprinodontiformes; Rivulidae
Description: tRNA-Cys
Source: RNAcentral
AGCCCCGAAGUAUUAUUAUAUCAAAUUGCAAAUUUGAAGAUGCCUAUUAAUUGUCGGCCGGGGCUU